RNAcentral lists this transfer RNA (65 nucleotides) under Potamilus leptodon. RNAcentral's name for it is "Leptodea leptodon tRNA-Leu". It matches the Rfam family "tRNA". Rfam says of the family: Transfer RNA (tRNA) molecules are approximately 80 nucleotides in length. Lineage: Eukaryota; Metazoa; Mollusca; Bivalvia; Unionida; Unionidae. The record is from RNAcentral.
AGCAAGUUAGUAUAAUAAUACCAUUGACUUAGAAUCAAUAAAUAAGCUUAAACACUUACUUGCCA